GCGCAGCAGGCGCGAAACCUCCGCAAUGCGCGAAAGCGCGACGGGGUUACCCGAGUGCCGUCCGCUGAGGACGGCUUUUGCCCAGUGUAGCCAGCUGGGCGAAUAAGGAGAGGGCAAGUCUGGUGUCAGCCGCCGCGGUAAUACCAGCUCUCCGAGUGGUGGGGACGCUUAUUGGGCCUAAAGCAUCCGUAGCCGGCUAGGCAAGUCCUCCGUUAAAUCCAACGAUUCAAUCGUUGGGCUGCGGGGGAUACUGUCCAGCUUGGGGGCGGGAGAGGCCGACGGUAUUCCCGGGGUAGGGUGAAAUCCUAUAAUCCCGGGAGGACCACCAGUGGCGAAGGCUGUCGGCUAGAACGCGCCCGACGGUGAGGGAUGAAAGCUGGGGGAGCGAACCGGAUUAGAUACCCCCCGUGGU
Molecule: ribosomal RNA, 412 nt
Filed under: uncultured microorganism
Description: bacterial SSU rRNA
Rfam family: Archaeal small subunit ribosomal RNA
Source: RNAcentral